Molecule: long non-coding RNA, 1692 nt
Filed under: Coturnix japonica (Japanese quail)
Lineage: Eukaryota; Metazoa; Chordata; Aves; Galliformes; Phasianidae
Description: lncRNA (ENSCJPG00005013874.1)
Source: RNAcentral
UUCUAGUGCUGAACUUCAAUUUUUCCACUUAAAGCAUUUUUAAAAAUGCUGGAUAAGCGAAGAGAUGAAUUUGAACACAUCUUGACCAUGGUAUUUAGAGUUUUGAAGAGGAAAAUUAUUAGUAGAAUGCCAGCACCAUCUUGGUGUUUUCAGUGAGAUGUAGUGGUUUGCUGGGAAUAUUUCCCACAUUACUUUCUAGAAAGUGCUCCAAAAUACUAAUUUUUACUCUUCUUAAAUUCCUUGUUUUCUGUAAAAAUUAUUCAGAAUUGGUGCUAUCAUAUAAGAAGCCCUGUGAGAUAAUUUCAGAUUAUCUUCUAUUUCAGUUAUCACUUGGUAGGAUAAUAAAUUCUUCAAACUAUCAGUCUCUAGACCUAGGAAGUUAUGGUUCUGCAUAAAAUUCUUAAGAACCCAUUCAUUAAUAUAAUGAAUGCCUUUUAUUCACAUUAAAUGACAAGAUUAACAUUUAUCAGCCAUUGUUCUUCUUUUUCCAUUAACUUUAAGGUGUCUAUUAAAUGAUUUGAGAUCAGAAUGGCAGAAUGAGGUGCAAUUCAAUACAAUGUGAGAACUGGAGUUGAUAUAAUAAGGGUUAAUGAAACAAUUGACUUCUCUGGCCACAUGUGCACCAGACAGUAAAAAGUGUGAAAGAUGCCUACUUCUACCUGCAGUCUGAUGGCUGCUAAUCAAAUUGUAUACAACCAAACACAGUGAAAGAAAUAUCAAUUGUAUGAAUAAAAGGAGUGAAUUAUAGCAGUGAGUCUGGAGUAAGGAAUUAUUAAAGUAUUUCCACAGGACAUUAAGCCAAAGCUGCCUGGUGAUUUCUGUAUGACAGUAUCUUUGCACAACUCGGUACACAGAAGCAAACUUUCUGGAACAAAAGGAAUAUUCCAAGUUUCUAGAAAAAACGGCUAAUUGGGAAAAAAAAAAAAAAGAAAAAAAUAAAGUUACCUCCUACAGUGGUGGUAGUAGGCACGACACAGUGGUUUCUCUGUGGCACCAGUUCAAAAGAAGCUCAAAAACAAAUAAAAGAAAAUACUAGUUCUACGAUUGAAGUCAGGAGAUUAAGUGAUACUGGACAACUCAUCUCUGAAGAAACUUCAGAGAGCUUUAUUUUUGGCAGGAACUUAAUGGGAGAAAAAAACAUGGAAGGAAAAAAAAAAAAAGAAAAAUGAAAAACUCUGCUUUUAUCCAGCUAUGAUUUAUUGCAUUUGCUGAAGUACCAUUCUUCCUUGGCAGUGUGCAGCAGUAGCAUUUUGGUCUCUCAGAGAAGUGAUGUUAAAGCUUAUUUCUUUUUCCUCAACUUUAAAGAAAAUCAGACCACGUUUUAUUUGUUUGUUUUCUUGUUUUCUAUCAGUUCUUCAAGUACAGAUCCUAUUGAGUAUCCUAAGGUUUUUAACAUUAAAUUAAAUGCUUGGUAUUAGAUUUUUAUGUUAGCUUAACCACAGACUGAAGUGGGCAAGAGAGAUAUUUAACUUAUGCAGAAGAAUCACAUUUUAUUUCUCCCUUCUGUGUUAUGAAAAUAAGAUUUGAAUUUAACUUUUAAUACAACUAUAUAUGAAUUAUUUAUUGUGGUGUACUUAGAGCUUGACUGGGAUCCUUGAAAUUACUAAGGCUGUUCUAAUAUGUAGAUGUAACCUUCUUUUUUUGUUGUAGUCAGAAAAUAAAAAUUAAAACUUAAAGUGUCUGUGAUAUAGA